Molecule: ribosomal RNA, 505 nt
Filed under: uncultured bacterium
Lineage: Bacteria
Description: partial 16S ribosomal RNA
Rfam family: Bacterial small subunit ribosomal RNA
Source: RNAcentral
GACGAACGCUGGCGGCGUGCCUAAUACAUGCAAGUAGAACGCACAGUUUAUACCGUAGCUUGCUACACCAUAGACUGUGAGUUGCGAACGGGUGAGUAACGCGUAGGUAACCUGCCUGGUAGCGGGGGAUAACUAUUGGAAACGAUAGCUAAUACCGCAUAAUAUUAAUUAUUGCAUGAUAAUUAAUUGAAAGGUGCAAUUGCACCACUACCAGAUGGACCUGCGUUGUAUUAGCUAGUAGGUGAGGUAACGGCUCACCUAGGCGACGAUACAUAGCCGACCUGAUAGGGUGGUCGGCCACACUGGGACUGAGACACGGCCCAGACUCCUACGGGAGGCAGCAGUAGGGAAUCUUCGGCAAUGGACGAAAGUCUGACCGAGCAACGCCGCGUGAGUGAAGAAGGUUUUCGGAUCGUAAAGCUCUGUUGUAAGGGAAGAACGGGUGUGAGAGUGGAAAGUUCACACUGUGACGGUAUCUUACCAGAAAGGGACGGCUAACUACGUG